GAUACCGCCCAAGAGUUCAUAUCGACGGCGGUGUUUGGCACCUCGAUGUCGGCUCAUCACAUCCUGGGGCUGAAGUCGGUCCCAAGGGUAUGGCUGUUCGCCAUUUAAAGUGGUACGCGAGCUGGGUUUAGAACGUCGUGAGACAGUUCGGUCCCUAUCUGCCGUGGGCGUUGGAAGAUUGAAGGGGGCUGCUCCUAGUACGAGAGGACCGGAGUGGACGAACCUCUGGUGUUCGGGUUGUGUCGCCAGACGCAUUGCCCGGUAGCUAAGUUCGGAAUCGAUAACCGCUGAAAGCAUCUAAGCGGGAAGCGAGCCCUGAGAUGAGUCUUCCCUGAUACUUUAAGUAUCCUAAAGGGUUGUUCGAGACUAGAACGUUGAUAGGCAGGGUGUGUAAGCGCUGUGAGGCGUUGAGCUAACCUGUACUAAUUGCCCGUGAGGCUUAACCAUACAACACCCAAAGGGUUUUG
Molecule: ribosomal RNA, 467 nt
Filed under: Vibrio sp. 03_296
Lineage: Bacteria; Pseudomonadati; Pseudomonadota; Gammaproteobacteria; Vibrionales; Vibrionaceae
Description: bacterial LSU rRNA
Rfam family: Bacterial large subunit ribosomal RNA
Source: RNAcentral